This 707-nucleotide ribosomal RNA is filed under the name Anthemiphyllia patera costata. RNAcentral describes it as "eukaryotic LSU rRNA". It matches the Rfam family "Eukaryotic large subunit ribosomal RNA", at positions 85 to 641 of the family's 3401-position model. The record is from RNAcentral. Lineage: Eukaryota; Metazoa; Cnidaria; Anthozoa; Scleractinia; Anthemiphylliidae.
AACGGCGAGUGAAGCGGGAUGAGCUCAAAUUUGAAAUCUCCGAUGCUUGCAUCGGCGAGUUGUAGUUGCGAGAAGCACUUUCUAGGUGGAUCGGGCACGCCUAAGUUGCUUGGAACAGCACGUCGCAAAGGGUGACAACCCCGUCUGUGGCGCGGCCGGCCGCCGCCGAUGUGCUUUCUACGAGUCGGGUUGUUUGGGAAUGCAGCCCAAAAUGGGUGGUAAACUCCAUCUAAAGCUAAAUAUUGGCGUGAGACCGAUAGCGAACAAGUACCGUGAGGGAAAGAUGAAAAGAACUUUGAAAAGAGAGUUAAAAAGUACGUGAAACCGUUGAAAGGGAAACGAAUGGACUCAGCAAUGCGCCGUUUGAGAUUCAGCCGGUCGGCGGGAUCGGUUCGGGGUUUGCGGAUCUGAAUGGACCGCGGUCUCGGGCUCGUUUCUGCCGGCCGUCGCACUUCUCUUGGGCGCGCGUCAACGUCGGUUGGGAGUGGGUCUGAAAGGUGCCGGGAAGGUAGGUGCGGCAGCCCGGUUCUCUCAUGGCUCGGGCUCGACUGAGGAGUUUGCAGCGCAUGCCUCCUGUGGCUAGGGUCCCGUCCAUCCGGCCGGUCGUCGAAUGCGGUGGACUGCUUGCAGUGCUCCGCGACCGCUGCCGGUCGUUUGGGUGGUGAUCUCGUACCAUGCGCUUUGGAUGUUGGCGGUCAUAUGGGUCC